AUGGGGCUGGGUGUUCCUAUGGGGCUGUGCAUCCCUCUAUGGGGCUGGGUGUUCCUAUGGGGCUGGAACCCUUUGGUGGGUGUGGGGCUGGGACCCCUCUAUAGGACUGGGAUCCCUUGGUGGGUGAAGGGCUGGGUGUCCCUAUGGGGCUGUGCAUCCCUCUAUGGGGCUGGGUGUUCCUAUGGGGCUGGAACCCUUUGGUGGGUGUGGGGCUGGGACCCCUCUAUAGGACUGGGAUCCCUUGGUGGGUGAAGGGCUGGCUGUCCCUAUGGGGUUGUGCAUCCCUCUAUGGGUCUGAGUGUCCCUAUGGGGCUGGGUGUCCCUAUGGGUCUGCGGACCUCUCUAUGGGGCUGGGUGCCCCUAUUGGAACUGGGUACCCCCUUAUGGGACUGGGCGUCCCUAUGGGGCUGGGAUCCCUUGGUGGGUGUGGGGCUGGGACCCCUUUAUAGGACUGGGAUUUCUUGGUGGGUGUGGGGCUGGGUGUCCCUAUGGGGCUGGGACCCCUUGGUGGGUGUGGGGUUGGGACCCUUCUAUAGGACUGGCACCCUCUAUGGGGCUGGGACCCCUUGCUGUGUGUGGGGCUGAGCAUCUCUAUGGGGCUGUGGAUCCCUCUAUGGGGCUGGGUGUCCCUAUGGGGCUGGAACCCCUUGGUGGGUGUGGGGCUGAGCAUCUCUAUGGGGCUGUGGAUCCCUCUAUGGGGCUGGGUGCCCCUAUUGGAACUGGGUGCCCCCUUAUGGGGCUGGGUGUCCCUAUGGGGUUGGGAUCCCUUGGUGGGUGUGGGGCUGGGACCCCUCUACAGGACUGGGAUCUCUUGGUGGGUGUGGGGCUGGGUGUCCCUAUGGGGCUGGGACCCCUUGCUGUGUGUGGGGCUGAGCAUCUCUAUGGGGCUGCGGACCCCUCUAUGGGGCUGGGUGUCCCUAUGGGGCAGGGACCCCUUGCUGUGUGUGGGGCUGAGCAUCUCUAUGGGGCUGCGGACCCCUCUAUGGGGCUGGGUUCCCCUAUUGGAACUGGGUGCCCCCUUAUGGGGCUGGGUGUCCCUAUGGGGCUGGGACCCCUUGCUGUGUGUGGGGCUGAGCAUCUCUAUGGGGCUGCGGACCCCUCUAUGGGGCUGGGUGCCCCUAUUGGAACUGGGUGCCCCCUUAUGGGGCUGGGUGUCCCUAUGGGGCUGGAACCCCUUGCUGUGUGUGGGGCUGAGCAUUUCUAUGGGGCUGUGGAUCCCUCUAUGGGGCUGGGUGCCCCUAUUGGAACUGGGUGCCCCCUUAUGGGGCUGGGUGUCCCUAUGGGGCUGGGAUCCCUUGGUGGGUGUGGGGCUGGGACCCCUCUACAGGACUGGGAUCUCUUGGUGGGUGUGGGGCUGGGUGUCCCUAUGGGGCUGGGACCCCUUGCUGUGUGUGGGGCUGAGCAUCUCUAUGGGGCUGUGGAUCCCUCUAUGGGGCUGGGUGUCCCUAUAGGUCUGCGGACCCCUCUAUGGGGCUGGGAGUCCCUAUUGGAACUGGGUGCCCUCUUAUGGGGCUGGGUGUCCCUAUGGGGCUGGGACCCCUUGCUGUGUGUGGGGCUGAGCAUCUCUAUGGGGCUGUGGACCCCUCUAUGGGGCUGGGUGUCUCUAUGGGGCAGGGACCCCUUGGUGGGUGUGGGGCUGAGCAUCUCUAUGGGGCUGUGGAUCCCUCUAUGGGGCUGGGUGCCCCUAUUGGAACUGGGUGCCCCCUUAUGGGGCUGGGUGUCCCUAUGGGGCUGGGAUCCCUUGGUGGGUGUGGGGCUGGGACCCCUCUACAGGACUGGGAUCUCUUGGUGGGUGUGGGGCUGGGUGUCCCUAUGGGGCUGGGACCCCUUGCUGUGUGUGGGGCUGAGCAUCUCUAUGGGGCUGCGGACCCCUCUAUGGGGCUGGGUUCCCCUAUUGGAACUGGGUGCCCCCUUAUGGGGCUGGGUGUCCCUAUGGGGCUGGGACCCCUUGCUGUGUGUGGGGCUGAGCAUCUCUAUGGGGCUGUGGAUCCCUCUAUGGGGCUGGGUGUCCCUAUAGGUCUGCGGACCCCUCUAUGGGGCUGGGUGCCCCUAUUGGAACUGGGUGCCCCCUUAUGGGGCUGGGUGUCCCUAUGGGGCUGCGACCCCUUGCUGUGUGUGGGGCUGAGCAUCUCUAUGGGGCUGCGGACCCCUCUAUGGGGCUGGGUGUCCCUAUGGGGCUGGGACCCCUUGCUGUGUAUGGGGCUGAGCAUCUCUAUGGGGCUGUGGAUCCCUCUAUGGGGCUGGGUGUCCCUAUAGGUCUGCGGACCCCUCUAUGGGGCUGGGUGCCCCUAUUGGAACUGGGUGCCCCCUUAUGGGGCUGGGUGUCCCUAUGGGGCUGGGACCCCUUGCUGUGUGUGGGGCUGAGCAUCUCUAUGGGGCUGUGGACCCCUCUAUGGGGCUGGGUGUCCCUAUUGGAACUGGGUGCCCCCUUAUGGGGCUGGGUGUCCCUAUGGGGCUGGGAUCCCUUGGUGGGACUGGCACCCCCUAUGGGGCUGGGACCCCUUGGUGGUUGUGGGGCUGUGGGCCCCUAUUGGGGCUGGGACCCCUCUAUAGGACUGGGAUCCCUUGGUGGGUGUGGGGCUGGGUGUCCCUAUGGGGCUGGGACCCC
This is an RNA transcript of Tympanuchus pallidicinctus (lesser prairie-chicken), 2608 nucleotides long. RefSeq lists it as uncharacterized. The transcript is spliced from 2 exons. The record is from RefSeq and is a predicted model, not a curated record. Lineage: Eukaryota; Metazoa; Chordata; Aves; Galliformes; Phasianidae.